Molecule: long non-coding RNA, 985 nt
Filed under: Lathyrus oleraceus (garden pea)
Lineage: Eukaryota; Viridiplantae; Streptophyta; Magnoliopsida; Fabales; Fabaceae
Description: Pisum sativum (pea) long non-coding RNA (PSAT_LNC021764)
Source: RNAcentral
AGAGUUAUUAUGAGACCGGGCAGUGAGUUCCAUAUUCAAUUGACCGUGCUCUGAAGGAAUGGGCCAAAUUAUAAUCGUUGUAACGUUUUUGGAACAAUUAAGGUCGAAAAUCAUUACAUAAUGAUUAAUAAUCGGUUACAUAUCACUAACGACUACUAAACCCAUUAAAAACACGUCUUUUCAAGAUCCAAAGAGAGGACAAAGUUUGCAUAUAAAUAGGCCUUGAAACCAACAAUAAUAAAAGAAGACAAUUGGGUGAGAGAAAAAUGAGAACAAUAUGCUUAUAAGACUUAAAGAUUUCAAAAAUGGAGUUGAUGACCUCAUCAUCUCCUGUACCAAUCAGAUACACAUUAACCACUUAUUUGUGACCUUCUGGGAAGGUUAAUCUUUUAAUGUUUUUAGCCAAAACAUUUGACGUCCACUAUAGAACUCCGAUAAAAUUAACCCGGACUUCACCUCUUUACCAUCAUUCUUUCCAUUUUCAUACAAGGAUGGCUUUCAUCUUGGUGACCAUACUCCUAUCAGGUUUGAAUUGAUUAUCUUGGGAUCAAACCUUUGAUAAAAAAUUGUAUAUCCCUCACGCCACAUAGCAUCGUACAUUUGAGAAAAGCCGCUCAUGGUGGCGUUGGCAGCAACGCCAAAUCAGGUAAUAUUCUGGCGACAACGUAUCUAAAGCAAGUACAGUAAACAAGCACUCCGUUUCGGUUUCCACAAUAAUUGUUUUCAUCUUAUAAUUGGCUGAAACAAUCCGAUCUAUUCGAACUCGAGGUCCCACCGAUGCCACGAGAUAGUGCCUUCCGAUCUGUUCCUGAUCAUAGUCGGGACCAUCGUACAUGUAACUAAAUGUGCAUAUCAUUUUUACUAAUCAAGGGAGGAUGGCUUCACAAAAAGAAUGAGUCAUCUGUCCGCCACAUAUCGAUUAUGUAUUGUCAUCCUAUGGUUGGUAACCAGAUGAUUUUAUUUUUAUUAUUAAAGCAACUCUUUU